Molecule: ribosomal RNA, 251 nt
Filed under: uncultured prokaryote
Description: partial 16S rRNA
Rfam family: Bacterial small subunit ribosomal RNA
Source: RNAcentral
ACGAAGGGAGCUAGCGUUGUUCGGAAUUACUGGGCGUAAAGGGCGCGUAGGCGGUCAAGCAAGUCAGAUGUGAAAGCCCUGGGCUCAACCCGGGAACUGCGUUUGAUACUGUUUGGCUUGAAUUCGGUAGAGGUGAGUGGAAUUCCCAGUGUAGAGGUGAAAUUCGUAGAGAUUGGGAAGAACACCAGUGGCGAAGGCGGCUCACUGGACCGACAUUGACGCUGAGGCGCGAAAGCGUGGGGAGCAAACAG